UUAAUUGAAGAGUUUGAUCAUGGCUCAGAUUGAACGCUGGCGGCAGGCCUAACACAUGCAAGUCGAGCGGAAACGACAACAUUGACCCUUCGGGUGAUUUGUUGGGCGUCGAGCGGCGGACGGGUGAGUAAUGCCUGGGAAAUUGCCCUGAUGUGGGGGAUAACCAUUGGAAACGAUGGCUAAUACCGCAUAACGUCUACGGACCAAAGAGGGGG
This 215-nucleotide ribosomal RNA is filed under the name Vibrio breoganii. RNAcentral's name for it is "partial 16S ribosomal RNA". It matches the Rfam family "Bacterial small subunit ribosomal RNA", at positions 1 to 210 of the family's 1533-position model. The record is from RNAcentral. Lineage: Bacteria; Pseudomonadati; Pseudomonadota; Gammaproteobacteria; Vibrionales; Vibrionaceae.